Molecule: small nuclear RNA, 300 nt
Filed under: Neogale vison (American mink)
Lineage: Eukaryota; Metazoa; Chordata; Mammalia; Carnivora; Mustelidae
Description: Neovison vison (American mink) 7SK RNA (ENSNVIG00000020287.1)
Rfam family: 7SK RNA
About the family: 7SK was discovered as an abundant small nuclear RNA in the mid-70s but a possible function has only recently been suggested. Two independent studies have found that 7SK RNA binds the CDK9/cyclin T complex (known as elongation factor P-TEFb). P-TEFb activates transcription by phosphorylating the C-terminal domain of RNA polymerase II.
Source: Rfam by way of RNAcentral
AGAUGUGAGGGCGACCUGGCUGCGACAUCUGUCACCCCAUUGAUCGCCAGGGUUGAUUCGGCUGAUCUGGCUGGCUAGGCGGGUGUCCCCUUCCUCCCUCACCGCUCCAUGUGCGUCCCUCCCGAAGCUGAGCGCUCGGUCGAAGGGGACGACCUUCCCCAUAGAGGAGAGGACCGUUCUUCGGUCAAGGGUAUACGAGUAGCUGCGCUCCCCUGCUAGAACCUCCAAAUAAGCCCUCAAAAAAUAAGAAAUAGAGCUACCCUGUAAUCUAGCAAUUGCAUUACUAGGUAUUUACUCAAU